ACUGAUAGAGUGAGCUUCGUGCCUACCCUGGCUGUAUUGCUCCAGAGGGACACAACAAUAUCCUUGGGAAACAGACCUGUGUCCAGAACUUGGCCAGAAGCAUCUAUUCAGGCCCAGAAAUGUCGGUGUAUUCCCACAGGAAACAGAGGAGCCUCCAGAACAACAGGGAAAUUGCUAAUUGUACUUCAUCUGAGUGAAGUCUGGCUGUAAAUUAAGGCUAAGCGCAAUGGAAGAGAACACAAGGUGCCUGAGUCUGGGGGCCUCAGAUUGCUGAAGGAGAAGGGGCAGAGAUUAGAUGGUGAUCCUACUAAAGAAUAAGCUCCCUCUUAUGGAUCUUUG
Molecule: long non-coding RNA, 339 nt
Organism: Ficedula albicollis (Collared flycatcher)
Lineage: Eukaryota; Metazoa; Chordata; Aves; Passeriformes; Muscicapidae
Exons: 3
Source: RefSeq, a predicted model, not a curated record